GCCGGGAUGGCGGAAUCGGUAGACGCAGCGGACUCAAAAUCCGCCGCUGGCGACAGUGUGAGGGUUCGAGUCCCUCUCCCGGCA
Molecule: transfer RNA, 84 nt
Filed under: Azoarcus indigens
Lineage: Bacteria; Pseudomonadati; Pseudomonadota; Betaproteobacteria; Rhodocyclales; Zoogloeaceae
Rfam family: tRNA
About the family: Transfer RNA (tRNA) molecules are approximately 80 nucleotides in length. Their secondary structure includes four short double-helical elements and three loops (D, anti-codon, and T loops).
Source: Rfam by way of RNAcentral